UAACAUUCAUAUCUGCAAGCUUCAUGGACGGCUAGCAACUGCAGCAAAGAGCAACCGAAAACUUCCACCAUUUCCUCUACAAACUCCACCAAAUUCAACCAAAACUUCACACACACUUAGCUCUUCACUUGGACAAUCACUUGGACAAAGAAGGAGCUGCACAUUCACGGUUUUUCUUGGGGCUUUUGGACACCAAAAUCUGACCUUUUAGCACACAAGUAAGGUAACCAUGAUCCACUCUUCAAAUCUUGUUCAUUGAAGGCCAACUCACACUUAAGAGCUUGAUUAAUGCUUAUGGGUAGCUUAUUAUUGUUAGAAAUUGUUAAAUGUGGGCUCUAUGAACUCCCACUUUGAGUUGAUGGCUGUGAUGAUGUUUGAUGAUGGUUUUAUUGUUGAAUUAGUGCUUAAGGGAGUAGAUUAAAGGUGCAUUAUCGCCAGAAACUUCAUUGAGCUCUUGAAGCAAAAAGUUUCCAUUUUACCCCUGCUCUGUUCGUCACUUUAAUGCAGAAAUUUGAGGAUUUAAUGGCUUGAUUGUGUUGUUUAUAUGUUGUAGUAGUUGUGUAAAAGUUUUCAUUGAAAAAUACUGAGUUUUGGUUGGUCAAACGAAUUUAUUCCCAAAGCUAGUAAUCUGGAAAACGGUUUCGUCGUAAUCCAGACCAGUGUUCGUAUUUCGUCCAUAACUCCGUACUCCGACGUCGAAAUCAAGUGCCGUUAGCGGCAUUUGAAACUAGACGUUCCCAUCUUUCCAACGAUAUAUAAUGCACGUUCUGGUUCAUGUGUGUGAACCGUACCACUUAUUGAAUUCAGCUGCCCUGUUUCGCCAUUCUGCCGAAAUGAUUUGAUGAUGCUGCAACUUUAGGCUUAAUUUCGAGCUAGUUGCAUGCUGAAACAUAAAAUGAUUUCUUCUGUGAAAUUAUAGUCCUAUGCAUGUAUUUUCUAACACUAUCAACCAUGCUCAAAUCCGAGUUAAAUUGAGUGAGUUAUGAUCAAAAUACGGUGACUGUUUUGUUCUUGAAAGCCUUGGAUUUGGACAGAUUUGACGUACAUUUGUGGUGUCUUACUAAAUGAAUUUCUUGAUACUAAACACCUACCAAAUGUACCAUGAAUGUUUCUUAAACUUUCCUUUCACAAUGAACCAUGAUUGGAGGAUUUCUUAGCCAAACGAUUGGAUUUGGGAAGAAAAGGAUUAAGGGCAGAUUGCCUUGAGAAUUUUUCAAACUUUGGUUGAUUGGUUAACCACCUUCCCGAAGGUAUUUUUCCACGAAAUUUGAGAGAGAGAUACCCUUCAUAUAGGAGUACCAUACUACAAAAUUUGGUGUCAAUUCAAGUCCGUUUCGACACUUAACAAAAGGUCCAAAGUCGGAACCAAAUCUGAAAUUUUGUAAUAGUCUUGAAUUUUUCCCAACUUUGAGCUACCAUAUCUUGGUGCUCGAAACUCCGAUUCUCGAUUCGUUUGUUCUGUCCUAAACCUUACUUGAACCUCUAAUUGAUCUAUAAAUUUCUACGGGCUGAUUUGCAACGAGUGAAUUCUGCCGAAUUUCAAAGUUAGCGAAAAACCAACCCCGGCUCAAUCCUGGGUGAUCUGGGACAUCAACUUUAAACUCAUUUUUGAAUACCUUCCAUUUAGAUUCGUGGAACAGUAUCUUCUAAGAACUUUUAGUAAUUUCCAAGAGGUUUCCAACGGUAUAAAUUUUUCCAAUUGUAGACUUGUAUCGAGUGAGAUACGAUUUUUCAAAGAUCCAUAUCAAAACUAAAUUUUCCAACUUUCAAGGAAAUAGAGAUUUCCAAGAAUUUUUAUUCUUUCGACAUUAUGCAAACAUUUUAACCUCGAUUUCCAAGAUAAAAAUCCAAAUGCUCCUGUACUUUAAGAAACUCUAAUUGAACCUCGAUUUACGAGUAAUUGAGGUUCGAUUUCGUGGAAUUUCCUUAGAUUGUACUAGUGUACAAUCUUCCUUGACAAUUGGGAUAUAUGAAUGAUAAUACGUUAUUAUUUGCCCAGGCGCACACGAGGACCUUCAAGAGGAUCCUACCGUGCACACUUGAACUUCCAGAAAAUAUUUUUUCUUGAUUUGCUCGGUGAGUGUCAAGUGUAUGACUACUUGAACUCUAUGGAUUUGAUUCAUGCUUGGCUUACCUGAUUACAUGCUUAGCCUACUUGGUUUUGAAAAAUGGAGUCGAGUGUGUACUUUAUCGCACUCGUUCUCAUUUGAAACAAAUGACUCAUGCAACAUGGUUUGCCUGAUUUACAUGACCUGAAAUACAUGCUUAGACCUGUCAAAUGCUUGAAUACAUGAUAUGGUAUGCUAUGGCUGCAUACGUCGUUGGAGUGAAUCUCCUCGACACUUACAUGACACAUGGGGGACGUCCAAACUCAUAGGCCGACCUUGGAACUCGAGCCGGCAUGGGCUUGGUCGGGAACCUCGGUGAGCCAUGAGAUUCACAUGGUAAGCUUGAUCUAUUGGAGAGAUCUUGCUUGGCAUACUCGUGGAGUAUCGCCUCAUAAAUGUCGUGCGGGCCCGAAGCGGUGUAUGGUGGAUGGAUGAGAAGUAAGUGGUGAUCUACGGUUUGGAAAUAUCAAUCCGGUUGACGGAGAGUCAUCACGGGAAGAUAUACGAAUGAACUGGCAAAGCAAGUGGAACUUAGCUCUUGAGAGCUACCAUAUCCUUGAAUCGUUUCUGUUUACAUUUUUUUGGCAUUGUUAAUUACUUGCAAGUUAUCACUUGAACUGUUACUUGGGCUUGUUACCUGAACUAUGUGCCUGCAUGUGUGUUCUUGGCCUCACAAGCAUUUUGCUCACCCUAUAGAUUUGUUUUCCUUAACAGAUUUGAACUCGGAG
This 2836-nucleotide long non-coding RNA is filed under the name Coffea arabica (coffee). RNAcentral describes it as "long non-coding RNA (CARA_LNC005609)". Lineage: Eukaryota; Viridiplantae; Streptophyta; Magnoliopsida; Gentianales; Rubiaceae. The record is from RNAcentral.